Molecule: ribosomal RNA, 542 nt
Filed under: uncultured bacterium
Lineage: Bacteria
Description: bacterial SSU rRNA
Rfam family: Bacterial small subunit ribosomal RNA
Source: RNAcentral
UGACGGAGCACGCCGCGUGAGUGAUGAAGGUCUUCGGAUCGUAAAACUCUGUUAUUAGGGAAGAACAAACGUGUAAGUAACUGUGCACGUCUUGACGGUACCUAAUCAGAAAGCCACGGCUAACUACGUGCCAGCAGCCGCGGUAAUACGUAGGUGGCAAGCGUUAUCCGGAAUUAUUGGGCGUAAAGCGCGCGUAGGCGGUUUUUUAAGUCUGAUGUGAAAGCCCACGGCUCAACCGUGGAGGGUCAUUGGAAACUGGAAAACUUGAGUGCAGAAGAGGAAAGUGGAAUUCCAUGUGUAGCGGUGAAAUGCGCAGAGAUAUGGAGGAACACCAGUGGCGAAGGCGACUUUCUGGUCUGUAACUGACGCUGAUGUGCGAAAGCGUGGGGAUCAAACAGGAUUAGAUACCCUGGUAGUCCACGCCGUAAACGAUGAGUGCUAAGUGUUAGGGGGUUUCCGCCCCUUAGUGCUGCAGCUAACGCAUUAAGCACUCCGCCUGGGGAGUACGACCGCGAGGUUGAAACUCAAAUGAAUUUGACGGA